This is a non-coding RNA of Collybia nuda, 89 nucleotides long. The record is from the annotation of a GenBank genome assembly. NCBI's taxonomy places the organism in Eukaryota, Fungi, Basidiomycota, Agaricomycetes, Agaricales, Clitocybaceae.
UCCUUGUUAGUAUAUCGGUUUAGUACACGCGCCUGUCACUUACUUGUUGUACUACGCGCGAGAGCUGGGUUCGACUCCCAGACAGGGAG